Molecule: non-coding RNA, 29 nt
Filed under: Rattus norvegicus (Norway rat)
Lineage: Eukaryota; Metazoa; Chordata; Mammalia; Rodentia; Muridae
Source: RNAcentral
UCAACUAUGGGGCUCAGACUUGUGUGCAC